CAGCAGUAGGGAAUCUUCCACAAUGGGCGAAAGCCUGAUGGAGCAACGCCGCGUGGGUGAAGAAGGUCUUCGGAUCGUAAAACCCUGUUGUUAGAGAAGAAAGUGCGUGAGAGUAACUGUUCACGUUUCGACGGUAUCUAACCAGAAAGCCACGGCUAACUACGUGCCAGCAGCCUCGGUAAUACGUAGGUGGCAAGCGUUAUCCGGAUUUAUUGGGCGUAAAGGGAACGCAGGCGGUCUUUUAAGUCUGAUGUGAAAGCCUUCGGCUUAACCGGAGUAGUGCAUUGGAAACUGGGAGACUUGAGUGCAGAAGAGGAGAGUGGAACUCCCAUGUGUAGCGGUGAAAUAGCGUAGAUAUAUGGAAGAACACCAGUGGCGAAAGCGGCUCUCUGGUCUGUAACUGACGCUGAGGUUCGAAAGCGUGGGUAGCAAACAGGAUUAGAUACCCUGGUAG
This 454-nucleotide ribosomal RNA is filed under the name uncultured bacterium. RNAcentral's name for it is "bacterial SSU rRNA". It matches the Rfam family "Bacterial small subunit ribosomal RNA", at positions 349 to 793 of the family's 1533-position model. The record is from RNAcentral.